Molecule: long non-coding RNA, 1091 nt
Filed under: Bos indicus x Bos taurus (hybrid cattle)
Lineage: Eukaryota; Metazoa; Chordata; Mammalia; Artiodactyla; Bovidae
Description: lncRNA (ENSBIXG00005017572.1)
Source: RNAcentral
CUAACUGAUGUCAGUUGGUCAGAAUUAAUACAAGAGAAGAAGAAUAUUCAUAGUGGGAUAGGCACUGGGAAGGUAGAGACCAGGAUGACAGGACUCCCACCCCUAAGAGCCAGCAGGAAGACAUCCAGUACAAACAGGUACACAGCAGCUGAGUGCUUGGUGCACGUUCAAGAUUUCUAUUCAAGACUCUCGGAGGAAAACCAGUGACCUCCAGGAGGCCAGCUGCCUUUUCCCACAGAGCACAGUCAUCUGGCCUCCCUUCCAGCUCUACCAGGUUCCGUCUCCUCCCAGCUCACAUGUAUCAGGCAAAGGGCGAGACCCUAUGGUCAAACUGCAAAGCGACUGAAGCAUAUCAUCCGCCACUCUUAGAUACACAGCAAAGAAGAACAUCAAGAGGACAUUUCUAAUCCCUUUCCCUUCCUCCUCUUGUUCCUCUUCUAACCUCUUCCCAUGGAAAGCCACGGGAAGAGUCAUCAGAAGACAAACUCUCCAAAUAGAAAGCCAUCUGCCUCCAUGAAGAGGACACUUAGGCCCAGAAAACAAUGAGUCUCUGACAAAGACUAACAAGCACAAAAUUGCAGCGGGUAGGAGGAAAGGACCCUUGUCUGCCUGUUUCUUUCCUUCUAUCCUUGCAGGUCAGGGAUCUUCAGAAGCAGGGCUCAUUCUUCUUGCUUUGGGGAUGCAUCGUGUGUGUUUACUGCCCUGAAGAGCGCUAAACAACCACAGGAUUUCUAAAUAUUUGCAUUCCAUAACUGUCCUUGGGCAGAAUCUGCUGGGCUGAGUCAUCCUGGGGACACCUUCCCCUCUCUCCGUUGAGGAGCUGCUGACCAGUGAAGCAGUUUCACUUCCUCCACUUGGUGGCUGAUGGGUGCUCCUUCAGCCUGGUUACAGCUCUCCUUUGGGACCCUACCAUGAGGUAUCUGCCUACCCUCACUGCUGAGACCCAAGGGCCUGACUGCCUGAAUUAAUAAGGCUUGUCAUUCCCCACUGCCAGGACUCGGGUUCUUUCUGACUCUCUCCUCUUUUCCUUCCUUUUCCUCUCUUUCUCAGGCCAAAAUAAACCCAAACCAAAUCCUCCGGAUAGGGGAGUU